CAGGACCCCGCACUAGCUGGGAGAUAGCUCCCGUAGCUAACGCCUGCAAACCCCGGGGCUCACGGCCCUGUGACACACAGUUUUUUGAAGUGCGGAAUAUUUAGAUCAACUUGCCAAAAAAACAUUAGCGGCAUUUUCCUGGCCAGCUCUGUGGACAAUAAGAGAUCCUGGCUGUCUACUGAAAGGCAUCUAUAAACUGGAUGGGGCCCAUCGUCCACCUGUGUAGCUGCUCCAUAGGCUCGGGGAGUACCCCGUCGACCUGCGCCGGAGACGCUGUCAUGCAUCUUGUAUGGCUGAGCACCAUUCUCAAUGCUUGUUUGGUUUUAAAUUUUAAUCUAGCCCAGCGUGUCAACAAAACCUCACCCAUCGUGACACGGAGGGUAAUCAUUAUGUGGCUCAUCUCCUGUCGGCAUGGCGAGCACUCCCCUGAUCUCGCGGAGAGUCCCCCCUGGCGUGGAACGUGCAUCAUCGGCACCCGCCGGGGCUCGGCCGCACCCUGGCGCGAAGGCCGGUGCGCUGCGUAUGAGGCAUGGCCACUUUAGGAGUGAGGGAUCUCCGUUUCCACACGUGUGUCUGAUGGUCACGGGGUCGUGGAAUUUCAACCCCGGACAAAAUGUAAUGUGGAAAUUAAGAUAUGAAACAUUCAUAAGGGUAGGAAAACCCUGCUGAAAGGUGAAAUGGAAUUCUGCCAACAUAUAAAACUAUAAAUCUUAUAUUACAAUAUAGAACUCGGAAUUGACUUAGUGCUCACUAAAAAGAUAAAUGCUUAAAAAAUAAAUGCUUCAUAAGUAUUGCUUAGGCAGGAUUCAUAUUACACUGCUCCAAAAAAAACUUAAAUCACACAUAGGAUCUUGAACAAAAAAUUCAUGUUGGAAAUCUUUACUGAUUGCGCUCUUCGGUGAGAACAAAAUGAUGUAACAACGUUCAGUAGAAACCAAAACCAUCAACCCAUCGAGGGCUGGAUUCAAAAUCACACCGGAAAUCAACGUAAACAUUUGAAAUCACAGGAUGAUCCUAUUUACGUGAAUUUCAUCACAGCAACCCAUAAAGUGGCUCAGUAUUGUGCACGACCUCAGCAGAGACGCAUCAGUCAGGAAGGACAAAGAGGGAUUAACAGUCUGUGGUCACCGCCUGUAAAACAAUCCUCUUCUCCAGCGCACCUGUUGUCAUUUUCAUUUGCACCGAAGCAGGAGAAAUUGAUUUAUAAUGGCUUAAGAUUCCUAACUGGACAGCUUGAUAUCCCUGAAGUUUAACGGUCUUAUUGUUAUACUGUUUCCUUUUUGAGCAGAGUGCAAACAUCUCUCCGUUUCUGUAGGAGUCCAAUAAAAUGUCUAUAGUCCACCAUUUGAAAUUCCAUUUGAAUUCUAAACAUGUAAGCUUUUUGUAGUCAGUUUUAUAUAAAGUGAUGUAUCAAUUUCUGGCAUUUGAAGGUGCGCGCAGGGGCACGCAGGGCUGCUCCACCUGUCUGCCAGGCCUGGUGGGACAGUGGAGGAAGCAGUCAC
Electrophorus electricus (electric eel) is the source of this 1502-nucleotide long non-coding RNA. RefSeq lists it as uncharacterized. NCBI's taxonomy places the organism in Eukaryota, Metazoa, Chordata, Actinopteri, Gymnotiformes, Gymnotidae. The record is from RefSeq and is a predicted model, not a curated record.